CUACGGGACGCACCAGUGGGGAAUUUUGCGCAAUGGGCGAAAGCCUGACGCAGCAACGCCGCGUGAGGGAUGAAGGUUCUCGGAUCGUAAACCUCUUUCAGACGGGAAGAACACAAUGACGGUACCGUCAGAAGAAGCCCCGGCUAACUCCGUGCCAGCAGCCGCGGUAAUACGGAGGGGGCAAGCGUUGUUCGGAAUCAUUGGGCGUAAAGCGUAUGUAGGCGGCCAGAUAAGUCAGACGUGUAAGCCCACGGCUCAACCGUGGAAUUGCGUUUGAAACUGUCUGGCUUGAGUACGGGAGAGGAAAGCGGAAUUCCCAGUGUAGCGGUGAAAUGCAUUGAUAUUGGGAAGAACAUCGGUGGCGAAGGCGGCUUUCUGGCCCGAUACUGACGCUGAGAUACGAAAGCCAGGGGAGUAAACGGGAUUAGAUACCCCUGUAGUC
This 442-nucleotide ribosomal RNA is filed under the name uncultured bacterium. RNAcentral's name for it is "partial 16S ribosomal RNA". It matches the Rfam family "Bacterial small subunit ribosomal RNA", at positions 339 to 795 of the family's 1533-position model. The record is from RNAcentral.